This 492-nucleotide ribosomal RNA is filed under the name uncultured bacterium. RNAcentral describes it as "partial 16S ribosomal RNA". It matches the Rfam family "Bacterial small subunit ribosomal RNA", at positions 29 to 507 of the family's 1533-position model. The record is from RNAcentral.
AGUGAACGCUGGCGGUAGGCCUAACACAUGCAAGUCGAACGGCAGCACAGUAAGAGCUUGCUCUUACGGGUGGCGAGUGGCGGACGGGUGAGGAAUACAUCUGAAUCUACCUUUUCGUGGGGGAUAACGUAGGGAAACUUACGCUAAUACCGCAUACGACCUGCGGGUGAAAGCAGGGGAUCUUCGGACCUUGCGCGAUUGAAUGAGCCGAUGUCGGAUUAGCUAGUUGGCGGGGUAAAGGCCCACCAAGGCGACGAUCCGUAGCUGGUCUGAGAGGAUGAUCAGCCACACUGGAACUGAGACACGGUCCAGACUCCUACGGGAGGCAGCAGUGGGGAAUAUUGGACAAUGGGCGCAAGCCUGAUCCAGCCAUACCGCGUGGGUGAAGAAGGCCUUCGGGUUGUAAAGCCCUUUUGUUGGGAAAGAAAAGCAGCAGGUUAAUACCCCGCUGUUCUGACGGUACCCAAAGAAUAAGCACCGGCUAACUUCGUG